AGGAAAAUAUCAUCUUCAGUUGUGAAAGACUUUAAAAAAGUUUUUUCUGUUUUAAAGAUCUAUGAAGGGCCUAUAGCUCAGCUGGUUAGAGCACACGCCUGAUAAGCGUGAGGUCGAUGGUUCAAGUCCAUUUAGGCCCACCAGUUAUGUUAUAAUAACUCAUUGAUUUUUAAAAAUAGCUCUUUGAAAAGUAGAUAAAUUAAGGUUAGAAAAAU
This 215-nucleotide unclassified non-coding RNA is filed under the name 'Rhamnus cathartica' stunt phytoplasma. RNAcentral describes it as "16S-23S ribosomal RNA intergenic spacer". The stretch from base 67 to 140 matches the Rfam family "tRNA". Lineage: Bacteria; Bacillati; Mycoplasmatota; Mollicutes; Acholeplasmatales; Acholeplasmataceae. The record is from RNAcentral.